This 232-nucleotide ribosomal RNA is filed under the name uncultured bacterium. RNAcentral's name for it is "partial 16S ribosomal RNA". It matches the Rfam family "Bacterial small subunit ribosomal RNA", at positions 118 to 348 of the family's 1533-position model. The record is from RNAcentral.
UGAGCAAUCUGCCCUUCUCUUUGGAAUAAGCGUUGGAAACGACGUCUAAUGCCGAAUACGACCUCCUUUCGCAUGAUCGGAGGUGGAAAGCUCCGGCGGAGAAGGAUGAGCUCGCGGCCUAUCAGCUAGUUGGUGUGGGUAAUGGCCCACCAAGGCGACGACGGGUAGCCGGCCUGAGAGGGUGACCGGCCACACGUGGGACUGAGACACGGCCCAGACUCCGUACGGGAGG